This 483-nucleotide ribosomal RNA is filed under the name uncultured bacterium. RNAcentral's name for it is "partial 16S ribosomal RNA". It matches the Rfam family "Bacterial small subunit ribosomal RNA", at positions 28 to 506 of the family's 1533-position model. The record is from RNAcentral.
AUUGAACGCUGGCGGCAUGCUUUACACAUGCAAGUCGGACGGCAGCGCGGGCUUCGGCCUGGCGGCGAGUGGCGAACGGGUGAGUAAUGCAUCGGAACGUGCCCAGUAGUGGGGGAUAGCCCGGCGAAAGCCGGAUUAAUACCGCAUACGACCUGAGGGUGAAAGCGGGGGGCCGAAAGGCCUCGCGCUAUUGGAGCGGCCGAUGUCGGAUUAGCUAGUUGGUGGGGUAAAGGCUUACCAAGGCGACGAUCCGUAGCUGGUCUGAGAGGACGACCAGCCACACUGGGACUGAGACACGGCCCAGACUCCUACGGGAGGCAGCAGUGGGGAAUUUUGGACAAUGGGGGCAACCCUGAUCCAGCCAUGCCGCGUGCGGGAAGAAGGCCUUCGGGUUGUAAACCGCUUUUGUUCGGGAAGAAAUCCUCUGGGCUAAUACCCCGGGGGGAUGACGGUACCGGAAGAAUAAGCACCGGCUAACUACGU